Molecule: ribosomal RNA, 253 nt
Filed under: uncultured bacterium
Lineage: Bacteria
Description: partial 16S ribosomal RNA
Rfam family: Bacterial small subunit ribosomal RNA
Source: RNAcentral
UACGAAGGUGGCAAGCGUUGUUCGGAUUUACUGGGCGUACAGGGAGCGUAGGCGGUUGGAUAAGCCCUCCGUGAAAUCUCCAGGCUUAACCUGGAAAGUGCAGAGGGGACUGUUCAGCUAGAGGAUGGGAGAGGAGCGCGGAAUUCCCGGUGUAGCGGUGAAAUGCGUAGAGAUCGGGAGGAAGGCCGGUGGCGAAGGCGGCUCUCUGGAACGGUACUGACGCUGAGACGCGAAAGCGUGGGGAGCGAACAGG